AAAUUGAAAAUUUUAUUGUGAAAUUGACAAAAUGAGAUUAGGGGGGUAGGGCACUAAAGAAAAAUUUGGACCAUUUUAAAGAGAUUGUGACGGGCAACGACUAUAUAGGUGUUGUAGAGGAGACAUUGGCGCAUCGUAUAAGAAAAUCCCCAGAGUGGUUUAUGUUCGAAAAUCUGAAGUUACGGUUAAAAAACUGAAAACUUUAUUGUGAAAUUGACAAAAUGAGAUUAGGGGGUAGGGCACUAAAAGAAAAAUUUGGACCAUUUUAAAGAGAUUGUGACGGGCAACGACUAUAUAGGUGUUGUAGAGGAGACAAUGGCGCAUCGUUUAAGAAAAUUUCCAGAGUGGUUUAUGUUCGAAAAUCUGAAGUUACGGUUAAAAAACUGAAAUUGUGAAAUUGACAAAAUGAGAUUAGGGGGGUAGGCCAAUUUAAGUUAAUUUUGCACCAAUUUCAAGAGAUUGUGACGGGCAACGACUAUAUAGGUGUUGUAGAAGAGACAAUGGCGCAUCGUUCAAGAAAAUCUCCAGAGUGUUUUGUGUUCGAAAAUCUGAAGUUACGGUUAAAAAACUGAAAAUUUUAUUGUGAAAUUGACAAAAUUAGAUUAGGGGGGUAGGGCACUAAAAGAAAAAUUUGAACCAUUUUAAAGAGAUUGUGACGGGCAACGACUAUAUAGGUAUUGUAGAGGAGACAUUGGCGCAACGUUUAAGAAAAUCUCCAGAGUGGUUUAUGUUCGAAAAUCUGAAGUUACGGUUAAAAAACUGAAAACUUUAUUGUGAAAUUGACAAAAUGAGAUUAGGGGGUAGGGCACUAAAAGAAAAAUUUGGACCAUUUUAAAGAGAUUGUGACGGGCAACGACUAUAAAGGUGUUGUAGAGGAGACAAUGGCGCAUCGUUUAAGAAAAUCUCCAGAGUGGUUUAUGUUCGAAAAUCUGAAGUUACGGUUAAAAAACUGAAAAUUUUAUUGUGAAAUUGACAAAAUUAGAUUAGGGGGGUAGGGCACUAAAAGAAAAAUUUGGACCAUUUUAAAGAGAUUGUGACGGGCAACGACUAUAUAGGUAUUGUAGUGGAGACAUUGGCGCAACGUUUAAGAAAAUCUCCAGAGUGGUUUAUGUUCGAAAAUCUGAAGUUACGGUUAAAAAACUGAAAUUGUGAAAUUGACAAAAUGAGAUUAGGGGGGUAGGCCAAUUUAAGUUAAUUUUGCACCAAUUUCAAGAGAUUGUGACGGGCAACGACUAUAUAGGUGUUGUAGAGGAGACAAUGGCGCAUCGUUUAAGAAAAUCUCCAGAGUGGUUUAUGUUCGAAAAUCUGAAGUUACGGUUAAAAAACUGAAAUUGUGAAAUUGACAAAAUGAGAUUAGGGGGGUAGGCCAAUUUAAGUUAAUUUUGCACCAAUUUCAAGAGAUUGUGACGGGCAACGACUAUAUAGGUGUUGUAGAAGAGACAAUGGCGCAUCGUUCAAGAAAAUCUCCAGAGUGUUUUGUGUUCGAAAAUCUGAAGUUACGGUUAAAAAACUGAAAAUUUUAUUGUGAAAUUGACAAAAUUAGAUUAGGGGGGUAGGGCACUAAAAGAAAAAUUUGGACCAUUUUGAAGAGAUUGUGACGGGCAACGACUAUAUAGGUAUUGUAGAGGAGACAUUGGCGCAACGUUUAAGAAAAUCUCCAGAGUGGUUUAUGUUCGAAAAUCUGAAGUUACGGUUAAAAAACUGAAAACUUUAUUGUGAAAUUGACAAAAUGAGAUUAGGGGGUAGGGCAUUAAAAGAAAAAUUUGGACCAUUUUAAAGAGAUUGUGACGGGCAACGACUAUAUAGGUGUUGUAGAGGAGACAAUGGCGCAUCGUUUAAGAAAAUCUCCAGAGUGGUUUAUGUUCGAAAAUCUGAAGUUACGGUUAAAAAACUGAAAAUUUUAUUGUGAAAUUGACAAAAUUAGAUUAGGGGGGUAGGGCACUAAAAGAAAAAUUUGGACCAUUUUGAAGAGAUUGUGACGGGCAACGACUAUAUAGGUGUUGUAGAGGAG
This is a long non-coding RNA of Mytilus californianus (California mussel), 2011 nucleotides long. RefSeq lists it as uncharacterized. The transcript is spliced from 3 exons. The record is from RefSeq and is a predicted model, not a curated record. NCBI's taxonomy places the organism in Eukaryota, Metazoa, Mollusca, Bivalvia, Mytilida, Mytilidae.